UACGUAGGGUGCAAGCGUUGUCCGGAUUUAUUGGGCGUAAAGAGCUCGUAGGCGGUUUGUCGCGUCGGAUGUGAAAACCCAGGGCUCAACCCUGGGCCUGCAUUCGAUACGGGCAAACUAGAGUAUGGCAGGGGAGACUGGAAUUCCUGGUGUAGCGGUGAAAUGCGCAGAUAUCAGGAGGAACACCGGUGGCGAAGGCGGGUCUCUGGGCCGAUACUGACGCUGAGGAGCGAAAGCGUGGGGAGCAAACAGG
RNAcentral lists this ribosomal RNA (253 nucleotides) under uncultured bacterium. RNAcentral's name for it is "partial 16S ribosomal RNA". It matches the Rfam family "Bacterial small subunit ribosomal RNA", at positions 524 to 776 of the family's 1533-position model. The record is from RNAcentral.